Molecule: ribosomal RNA, 766 nt
Filed under: Acinetobacter rhizosphaerae
Lineage: Bacteria; Pseudomonadati; Pseudomonadota; Gammaproteobacteria; Moraxellales; Moraxellaceae
Description: bacterial SSU rRNA
Rfam family: Bacterial small subunit ribosomal RNA
Source: RNAcentral
GGCGGACGGGUGAGUAAUGCUUAGGAAUCUGCCUAUUAGUGGGGGACAACAUUUCGAAAGGAAUGCUAAUACCGCAUACGUCCUACGGGAGAAAGCAGGGGAUCUUCGGACCUUGCGCUAAUAGAUGAGCCUAAGUCGGAUUAGCUAGUUGGUGGGGUAAAGGCCUACCAAGGCGACGAUCUGUAGCGGGUCUGAGAGGAUGAUCCGCCACACUGGGACUGAGACACGGCCCAGACUCCUACGGGAGGCAGCAGUGGGGAAUAUUGGACAAUGGGCGCAAGCCUGAUCCAGCCAUGCCGCGUGUGUGAAGAAGGCCUUAUGGUUGUAAAGCACUUUAAGCGAGGAGGAGGCUACUUUAGUUAAUACCUAGAGAUAGUGGACGUUACUCGCAGAAUAAGCACCGGCUAACUCUGUGCCAGCAGCCGCGGUAAUACAGAGGGUGCAAGCGUUAAUCGGAUUUACUGGGCGUAAAGCGCGCGUAGGCGGCUAAUUAAGUCAAAUGUGAAAUCCCCGAGCUUAACUUGGGAAUUGCAUUCGAUACUGGUUAGCUAGAGUGUGGGAGAGGAUGGUAGAAUUCCAGGUGUAGCGGUGAAAUGCGUAGAGAUCUGGAGGAAUACCGAUGGCGAAGGCAGCCAUCUGGCCUAACACUGACGCUGAGGUGCGAAAGCAUGGGGAGCAAACAGGAUUAGAUACCCUGGUAGUCCAUGCCGUAAACGAUGUCUACUAGCCGUUGGGGCCUUUGAGGCUUUAGUGGCGCAGCUAACGC